CCUACGGGUGGCAGCAGUGGGGAAUAUUGGACAAUGGGGGGAACCCUGAUCCAGCCAUGCCGCGUGUGUGAAGAAGGCCCUCGGGUUGUAAAGCACUUUCAGUGAGGAAGAACGCCUGGUGGUUAAUACCCAUCAGGAAAGACAUCACUCACAGAAGAAGCACCGGCUAACUCCGUGCCAGCAGCCGCGGUAAUACGGAGGGUGCGAGCGUUAAUCGGAAUUACUGGGCGUAAAGCGCGCGUAGGUGGCUUGAUAAGCCGGUUGUGAAAGCCCCGGGCUCAACCUGGGAACGGCAUCCAGAACUGUCAAGCUAGAGUGUAGGAGAGGAAGGUAGAAUUCCCGGUGUAGCGGUGAAAUGCGUAGAGAUCGGGAGGAAUACCAGUGGCGAAGGCGGCCUUCUGGACUGACACUGACACUGAGGUGCGAAAGCGUGGGUAGCAAACAGGAUUAGAUACCCUAGUAGUC
Molecule: ribosomal RNA, 465 nt
Filed under: Vreelandella stevensii
Lineage: Bacteria; Pseudomonadati; Pseudomonadota; Gammaproteobacteria; Oceanospirillales; Halomonadaceae
Description: partial 16S ribosomal RNA
Rfam family: Bacterial small subunit ribosomal RNA
Source: RNAcentral